GUGGGGAAUAUUGGACAAUGGGCGAAAGCCUGAUCCAGCCAUGCCGCGUGUGUGAAGAAGGUCUUCGGAUUGUAAAGCACUUUAAGUUGGGAGGAAGGGCAGUAAGUUAAUACCUUGCUGUUUUGACGUUACCGACAGAAUAAGCACCGGCUAACUUCGUGCCAGCAGCCGCGGUAAUACGAAGGGUGCAAGCGUUAAUCGGAAUUACUGGGCGGAAAGCGCGCGUAGGUGGUUUUGUAAGUUGGAGGUGAAAUCCCCGGGCUCAACCUGGGAACUGCCUCCAAAACUGCAUGACUAGAGUACAGUAGAGGGUAGUGGAAUUUCCUGUGUAGCGGUGAAAUGCGUAGAUAUAGGAAGGAACACCAGUGGCGAAGGCGACUACCUGGACUGAUACUGACGCUGAGGUGCGAAAGCGUGGGGAGCAAACAGGAUUAGAAACCCUGGUAGUCC
This 450-nucleotide ribosomal RNA is filed under the name uncultured bacterium. RNAcentral describes it as "bacterial SSU rRNA". It matches the Rfam family "Bacterial small subunit ribosomal RNA", at positions 354 to 796 of the family's 1533-position model. The record is from RNAcentral.